GAUGAACGCUGGCGGCGUGCCUAAUACAUGCAAGUCGAGCGAACAGACGAGGAGCUUGCUCCUCUGACGUUAGCGGCGGACGGGUGAGUAACACGUGGAUAACCUACCUAUAAGACUGGGAUAACUUCGGGAAACCGGAGCUAAUACCGGAUAACAUGUUGAACCGCAUGGUUCAACAGUGAAAGACGGUCUUGCUGUCACUUAUAGAAGGAUCCGCGCCGCAUUAGCUAGUUGGUAAGGUAACGGCUUACCAAGGCAACGAUGCGUAGCCGACCUGAGAGGGUGAUCGGCCACACUGGAACUGAGACACGGUCCAGACUCCUACGGGAGGCAGCAGUAGGGAAUCUUCCGCAAUGGGCGAAAGCCUGACGGAGCAACGCCGCGUGAGUGAAGAAGGUCUUCGGAUCGUAAAACUCUGUUAUUAGGGAAGAACAAAUGUGUAAGUAACUAUGCACGUCUUGACGGUACCUAAUCAGAAAGCCACGGCUAACUACGUG
This 497-nucleotide ribosomal RNA is filed under the name uncultured bacterium. RNAcentral describes it as "partial 16S ribosomal RNA". It matches the Rfam family "Bacterial small subunit ribosomal RNA", at positions 28 to 507 of the family's 1533-position model. The record is from RNAcentral.